Molecule: ribosomal RNA, 293 nt
Filed under: uncultured bacterium
Lineage: Bacteria
Description: partial 16S ribosomal RNA
Rfam family: Archaeal small subunit ribosomal RNA
Source: RNAcentral
GUGCCAGCCGCCGCGGUAAUACCGGCAGCCCGAGUGAUGGCCGAUCUUAUUGGGCCUAAAGCGUCCGUAGCUGGCUGCGCAAGUCCGUCGGGAAAUCCACUCGCCCAACGAGUGGGCGUCCGACGGAAACUGCACAGCUUGGGACCGGAAGGCUCGAAGGGUACGUUCGGGGUAGGAGUGAAAUCCCGUAAUCCCGGACGGACUACCGAUGGCGAAAGCACUCUGAGAAGACGGCUUCGACAGUGAGGGACGAAAGCGCGGGGAGCAAACAGGAUUAGAUACCCGAGUAGUCC